RNAcentral lists this transfer RNA (73 nucleotides) under Loxodonta africana (African savanna elephant). It matches the Rfam family "tRNA". From Rfam's summary of the family: Transfer RNA (tRNA) molecules are approximately 80 nucleotides in length. Their secondary structure includes four short double-helical elements and three loops (D, anti-codon, and T loops). The record is from Rfam by way of RNAcentral. Lineage: Eukaryota; Metazoa; Chordata; Mammalia; Proboscidea; Elephantidae.
GCCUUGGUGGCACCAAAGGUUAAGUGCUUGGCUGCUAACCAAAAGGCUGGUGGUUCAAACCCACCCAGUGGCU